This 325-nucleotide ribosomal RNA is filed under the name uncultured eukaryote. RNAcentral's name for it is "partial 18S ribosomal RNA". It matches the Rfam family "Eukaryotic small subunit ribosomal RNA", at positions 1470 to 1796 of the family's 1831-position model. The record is from RNAcentral.
CCCUUAGAUGUUCUGGGCUGCACGCGCACUACACUGAAGCGUUCAACGAGUAUUCACCUUGCCCGGGAGGGUUGGGUAAUCUUUUGAAAACGCUUCGUGAUGGGGAUAGAUUAUUGCAAUUAUUAAUCUUCAACGAGGAAUUCCUAGUAAGCGCGAGUCAUCAGCUCGUGCUGAUUACGUCCCUGCCCUUUGUACACACCGCCCGUCGCUCCUACCGAUUGAGUGGUCCGGUGAAUAAUUCGGACUGCAGCACUGCUUGGUCUCCAGGCUUUGCAGCGGAAAGUUUAGUGAACCUUAUCACUUAGAGGAAGGAGAAGUCGUAACA